GAUGAACGCUGGCGGCGUGCCUAAUACAUGCAAGUCGAGCGAACAGAUAAGGAGCUUGCUCCUUUGACGUUAGCGGCGGACGGGUGAGUAACACGUGGGUAACCUACCUAUAAGACUGGAAUAACUCCGGGAAACCGGGGCUAAUGCCGGAUAACAUUUAGAACCGCAUGGUUCUAAAGUGAAAGAUGGUUUUGCUAUCACUUAUAGAUGGACCCGCGCCGUAUUAGCUAGUUGGUAAGGUAACGGCUUACCAAGGCAACGAUACGUAGCCGACCUGAGAGGGUGAUCGGCCACACUGGAACUGAGACACGGUCCAGACUCCUACGGGAGGCAGCAGUAGGGAAUCUUCCGCAAUGGGCGAAAGCCUGACGGAGCAACGCCGCGUGAGUGAUGAAGGUCUUCGGAUCGUAAAACUCUGUUAUCAGGGAAGAACAAAUGUGUAAGUAACUGUGCACGUCUUGACGGUACCUAAUCAGAAAGCCACGGCUAACUACGUG
This 497-nucleotide ribosomal RNA is filed under the name uncultured bacterium. RNAcentral describes it as "partial 16S ribosomal RNA". It matches the Rfam family "Bacterial small subunit ribosomal RNA", at positions 28 to 507 of the family's 1533-position model. The record is from RNAcentral.